UACGUAGGGUGCAAGCGUUAAUCGGAACUACUGGGCGUAAAGCGUGCGCAGGCGGUUUUGUAAGUCUGUCGUGAAAUCCCCGGGCUUAACCUGGGAAUGGCGAUGGAGACUGCAAGGCUAGAGUUUGGCAGAGGGGGGUAGAAUUCCACGUGUAGCAGUGAAAUGCGUAGAGAUGUGGAGGAACACCGAUGGCGAAGGCAGCCCCCUGGGUCAAAACUGACGCUCAUGCACGAAAGCGUGGGGAGCAAACAGG
This 253-nucleotide ribosomal RNA is filed under the name uncultured bacterium. Its description in RNAcentral is "partial 16S ribosomal RNA". It matches the Rfam family "Bacterial small subunit ribosomal RNA", at positions 524 to 776 of the family's 1533-position model. The record is from RNAcentral.